UGCAGUCGAACGAAUGUCAGUUUUGUAGCAAUACAGAGCUGGCGGAAGUGGCGAAAGGGGCAGUAAUGCAUGGGUAACCUACCUUGGGGAUGGGGAUAGCCGUUCUAACGGACGGGUAAUACCCAGAGAUUCAGUGGGAAGGCAUCUUUCUGCUGGGAAAUGAAUUUCGCCUCGAGAGGGGCCCAUGUGCUAUUAGCUAGUUGGUAGGGUAACGGCCUACCAAGGCUAAGAUGGCUAGCGGGUGUGAGAGCACGACCCGCGCCACUGGCACUGAGACACUGGCCAGACACCUACGGGUGGCUGCAGUCGAGGAUCUUCGUCAAUGGGCGCAAGCCUGAACGAGCGACGCCGCGUGCGCGAUGAAGGCCUUCGGGUUGUAAAGCGCGAAAGUGGAGAGAAAGGGAAACUUGAUCAAUCCACAGUAAGGACGGGCUAAGUUCGUGCCAGCAGCCGCGGUAAGACGAACUGUCCUAACGUUGUUCGGAAUCACUGGGCUUAAAGGGCGCGUAGGCGGUCGACCAAGUCAGGGGUGAAAUCCUGCAGCUUAACUGUAGAAGUGCCUUUGAUACUGGUCGUCUGGAGGGAGGUAGGGGUGUGUGGAACUUCCAGUGGAGCGGUGAAAUGCGUUGAUAUUGGAAGGAACGCCGGAGGCGAAAGCGACGCACUGGACCUUUUCUGACGCUGAGGCGCGAAAGCUAGGGGAGCAAACGUGAUUAGAUACCCCGGUAGUCCUAGCCCUAAACGAUGGGUACUAGAUUGUAGACUUAUCAUGGGUUUACAGUCGAAGCAAAAGUGUUAAGUACCCCGCCUGGGGAGUAUGGUCGCAGGCUGAAACUCAAGAAUUGACGGGGGCUCACACAAGCGG
This 865-nucleotide ribosomal RNA is filed under the name uncultured Planctomycetota bacterium. RNAcentral describes it as "bacterial SSU rRNA". It matches the Rfam family "Bacterial small subunit ribosomal RNA", at positions 56 to 932 of the family's 1533-position model. The record is from RNAcentral. Lineage: Bacteria; Pseudomonadati; Planctomycetota.